This is a long non-coding RNA of Seriola dumerili (greater amberjack), 598 nucleotides long. RefSeq lists it as uncharacterized. NCBI's taxonomy places the organism in Eukaryota, Metazoa, Chordata, Actinopteri, Carangiformes, Carangidae. The record is from RefSeq and is a predicted model, not a curated record. The transcript has 3 exons.
AUUACCCGCUCACUGUCCGACGGCCCAGAAAGUACAGCCUGAGAAAGCAGAGUUUGAUCUGCAUUUUGGACCAAACUACCACCCAACGUUUGAGAUCCGGCUGCCUGCAAACACAGAACAAGCGACUGUAACGGUCCGAGACCAAACGGAUGCAGAUGUCUGGAAGCACGAGUUUGACCUGACUGGUCCUGAUCCAGCAUGGACUCCUAGUUUCCCAAGAUGGACUUCAAGUGUCCCAGCAGGGACUUCAAGUGUCCCAGCAGGGACAUCUCAUGUCCCAGCAGGGACUCCUAGUGUCCCAGCAUGGACUCCUAGUGUCCCAGCAGGGACCCAGAGUGUCCCAGCAGGGACAUCUAGUUUCCUAGGAUGGACUCCUAGUGUCCCAGCAGGGACUUCGAGUGUCCCAGCAGGGACUUCUAGUGUCCCAGCAGGGACUUCUCGUGUCCCAGCAGAAAAGAAGCUGAAGUCUGUUCGGACACAGUUCAUCGACAGAGUGUCUGAACCUGUUCUCCGUAAGCUGCUGGAUAAACUCCUGGAGCGUGGGGUGAUAACUGAUGGUGAACUGGAGUGUGUUGUAACACAGAACACACGGGUGGAC